AGCGAGUCGCCGCUCAAUUACCGUGACAUAGUCGUACGGUGAAUGUUGUGUAUGGAGUCCAAUGUUAACUGUAAGACUGUGUCUCGGUGGUUGUUAGCUAAUCAAC
Molecule: microRNA precursor, 106 nt
Filed under: Drosophila virilis
Lineage: Eukaryota; Metazoa; Arthropoda; Insecta; Diptera; Drosophilidae
Description: microRNA dvi-mir-999 precursor
Gene: dvi-mir-999
Rfam family: mir-999 microRNA precursor family (bases 13-95)
Source: miRBase by way of RNAcentral